UUGAACGCUGGCGGCAGGCCUAACACAUGCAAGUCGAGCGCGAAAGGUUUUCGGACUGAGUAAAGCGGCGGACGGGUGAGUAACGCGUGGGAAUCUGCCCAGUAGUGGGGGACAACAGUCGGAAACGACUGCUAAUACCGCAUACGCCCUACGGGGGAAAGGGGGGGAUCUUCGGACCUCUCGCUAUUGGAUGAGCCCGCGUCGGAUUAGCUAGUUGGUAGGGUAAAGGCCUACCAAGGCUACGAUCCGUAACUGGUCUGAGAGGAUGAUCAGUCACACUGGAACUGAGACACGGUCCAGACUCCUACGGGAGGCAGCAGUGGGGAAUAUUGGACAAUGGGGGCAACCCUGAUCCAGCCAUGCCGCGUGUGUGAAGAAGGCCAUAGGGUUGUAAAGCACUUUCAGUGGGGAGAAAGGUUUGUCACCUAAUACGUGAUGAAAUUGAUGUUACCCACAGAAGAAGCACCGGCUAACUCCGUGCCAGCAGCAGCCGCGG
This 496-nucleotide ribosomal RNA is filed under the name uncultured bacterium. RNAcentral describes it as "partial 16S ribosomal RNA". It matches the Rfam family "Bacterial small subunit ribosomal RNA", at positions 30 to 523 of the family's 1533-position model. The record is from RNAcentral.